GGUGCAUUACAUUUUCCGUUCAAGCGUUAAACAAACAACUGUCAAAGGCCGAGUGCGAGUUUUUCUAUUUCACGGACUAAGUGAAUAUCGUAUUUCCAUCGGGAGGCGGCGAACUACCUUGCGACGAGUGUGAGAGUCCUUCAUUUACUACGUCGCGUUUAGUCGGCGCUAAGACGGAGUAACCGGAGAGUUUGACGUUUGCGACGAACUGGGAAAGACAUCGCUCGACUUCUUGACGACAUUUUCAACUUUGACGGCCAAGGUUUUUGAAAAUCAGGAUGAGAGCUAAAGAUCGACAAUGAAUUAGAUCGUCGAUCGACGACCCUUGUGGGAGCAAAAAAGGAAAGCUUUCAAUGUUGGGCAAUCCAGCGAAUGACCCGCGACUUCGUAACAGUCUACAUUAACAGCUUGCAGUAGGAUCAUCCUAUGUCUCGAGCACUAAGCACCACAAUGACUGUAGCUAAUGGUGGUACCUUAGACAAGCCCUUCCAAUGCAAUGUGUGUGAAAGGCGUUUUAGGCAACUAAGCACAUUGACAAAUCAUGUGAAAAUCCACACGGGGGAAAAAACCGUACAAAUGUCCCGUUUGUGACAAGGACUUUCGUCAAUCCAGCACUUUGACGAAUCACCUGAAAAUACACACCGGAGAGAAACCUUUCAAUUGCACGUAUUGUGGCAAACAAUUUCGUCAAUUAAGCACGCUUACCAAUCACCUGAAGAUCCAUACGGGCGAGAAGCCGUUCGAAUGCAUCAUUUGUAAAAAACAGUUUCGCCAAUCGAGCACGCUCAACAACCACAUCAAAAUCCAUAUGACGGACAAACUGUUCCUGUCGUGUACACCGGAGAUCAAGGCGGAAGUGGAGGAAGCAUGAUCCGAGGGUGCAGAGAGUUGUAGUGAUGCGUAAAUCGAUUUCUUGUUAUUCCAUCUCUGGUUUCGAUUCAAGUUUUCGCGAGAUCGGAUAGCUUUCUGCAGGAACAUAAACGACUGAACCGAUGGCUAUGUAAUGUACGUAGCUUCAUAUUUAAAAUAGAAUCACCUCAGUUCUCUUAGUGGAAACAAAAAUACAUUUGCUACGAUUUGUUUUAUUUUUUAUUUCACCUUAUUCUUACGUUUUAUUUUGAUUCAAUUGAUUUCUUAGUUACGUCUGAAACUAUGGGAACCGUAACUGAUACAGAGAUUAAAUGUGACUUAGCGAUUAAGUAAGAGUAAACAUAAAAAGAUUAAAAAUAUUGUAAGGAGAAUGAAACACGUGAAAUAAAAUGAUAUUGUUAAUAAA
Hermetia illucens (black soldier fly) is the source of this 1276-nucleotide long non-coding RNA. RefSeq lists it as uncharacterized. Lineage: Eukaryota; Metazoa; Arthropoda; Insecta; Diptera; Stratiomyidae. The record is from RefSeq and is a predicted model, not a curated record. The transcript has 2 exons.